RNAcentral lists this ribosomal RNA (489 nucleotides) under uncultured bacterium. RNAcentral's name for it is "partial 16S ribosomal RNA". It matches the Rfam family "Bacterial small subunit ribosomal RNA", at positions 28 to 507 of the family's 1533-position model. The record is from RNAcentral.
GACGAACGCUGGCGGCGUGCUUAACACAUGCAAGUCGAACGGUGAAGGGAUCAGCUUGCUGGUUCUGGAUGAGUGGCGAACGGGUGAGUAACACGUGAGUAACCUGCCCCCUUCUUCUGGAUAACUGCAUGAAAGUGUGGCUAAUACGGGAUAUUCUGCGCCUGCUGCAUGGUGGGUGUGGGGAAGAUAUUGUUUCGGUGGGGGAUGGGCUCGCGGCCUAUCAGCUUGUUGGUGGGGUGAUGGCCUACCAAGGCGGUGACGGGUAGCCGGCCUGAGAGGGUGGACGGUCACACUGGGACUGAGACACGGCCCAGACUCCUACGGGAGGCAGCAGUGGGGAAUAUUGCACAAUGGGCGCAAGCCUGAUGCAGCGACGCCGCGUGAGGGAUGGAGGCCUUCGGGUUGUGAACCUCUUUCGCCAGUGAAGCAGGCCUGUCCCUUGUGGGUGGGUUGACGGUAGCUGGAUAAGAAGCGCCGGCUAACUACGUG